Molecule: ribosomal RNA, 231 nt
Filed under: uncultured bacterium
Lineage: Bacteria
Description: partial 16S ribosomal RNA
Rfam family: Bacterial small subunit ribosomal RNA
Source: RNAcentral
UGAGCAAUCUGCCCUUCUCUUCGGAAUAAGCGUUGGAAACGACGUCUAAUGCCGAAUACGACCUCCUUUCGCAUGAUCGGAGGUGGAAAGCUCCGGCGGAGAAGGAUGAGCUCGCGGCCUAUCAGCUAGUUGGUGUGGGUAAUGGCCCACAAGGCGACGACGGGUAGCCGGCCUGAGAGGGUGACCGGCCACACUGGGACUGAGACACGGCCCAGACCUCCGUACGGGAGG